CACCGCCCGUCACACCACGAAAGCUAAUUGCACCAGAAGUCGCUGUGCUAACCGUAAGGAGGCAGGCGCCCAAGGUGCGGUUGAUGAUUGGGGUG
This 95-nucleotide ribosomal RNA is filed under the name uncultured bacterium. Its description in RNAcentral is "partial 16S ribosomal RNA". It matches the Rfam family "Bacterial small subunit ribosomal RNA", at positions 1388 to 1482 of the family's 1533-position model. The record is from RNAcentral.